RNAcentral lists this ribosomal RNA (373 nucleotides) under uncultured bacterium. RNAcentral's name for it is "bacterial SSU rRNA". It matches the Rfam family "Bacterial small subunit ribosomal RNA", at positions 28 to 396 of the family's 1533-position model. The record is from RNAcentral.
GACGAACGCUGGCGGCGUGCUUAACACAUGCAAGUCGAGCGGUAAGGCCCUUUCGGGGUACGACGAGCGGCGAACGGGUGAGUAACACGUGGGUGACCUGCCCUCCAGCUCUGGGAGUAAGCCUGGGAAACCGGGGUCUAAUACUGGAUAUGACUCCAUGACGCAUGUUGUGGGGUGGGAAAGCCUUGUGCGGCUGAGGAUGGGCCCGGCGGCCUAUCAGCUUGUUGGUGGGGUGAUGGCCUACCAAGGCGACGACGGGUAGCCGGCCUGAGAGGGCGACCGGCCACACUGGGACUGAGACACGGCCCAGACUCCUACGGGAGGGCAGCAGUGGGGAAUCUUGCGCAAUGGGCGAAAGCCUGACGCAGCGACG